This 465-nucleotide ribosomal RNA is filed under the name Vreelandella stevensii. Its description in RNAcentral is "partial 16S ribosomal RNA". It matches the Rfam family "Bacterial small subunit ribosomal RNA", at positions 338 to 795 of the family's 1533-position model. Lineage: Bacteria; Pseudomonadati; Pseudomonadota; Gammaproteobacteria; Oceanospirillales; Halomonadaceae. The record is from RNAcentral.
CCUACGGGCGGCAGCAGUGGGGAAUAUUGGACAAUGGGGGCAACCCUGAUCCAGCCAUGACGCGUGUGUGAAGAAGGCCCUCGGGUUGUAAAGCACUUUCAGUGAGGAAGAACGCCUGGUGGUUAAUACCCAUCAGGAAAGACAUCACUCACAGAAGAAGCACCGGCUAACUCCGUGCCAGCAGCCGCGGUAAUACGGAGGGUGCGAGCGUUAAUCGGAAUUACUGGGCGUAAAGCGCGCGUAGGUGGCUUGAUAAGCCGGUUGUGAAAGCCCCGGGCUCAACCUGGGAACGGCAUCCGGAACUGUCAAGCUAGAGUGCAGGAGAGGAAGGUAGAAUUCCCGGUGUAGCGGUGAAAUGCGUAGAGAUCGGGAGGAAUACCAGUGGCGAAGGCGGCCUUCUGGACUGACACUGACACUGAGGUGCGAAAGCGUGGGUAGCAAACAGGAUUAGAUACCCCUGUAGUC